UACGGUGGGGGCAAGCGUUGUUCGGAAUUACUGGGCGUAAAGGGCUCGUAGGCGGCCAACUAAGUCAGACGUGAAAUCCCUCGGCUUAACCGGGGAACUGCGUCUGAUACUGGAUGGCUUGAGUUCGGGAGAGGGAUGCGGAAUUCCUGGUGUAGCGGUGAGAUGCGCAGAUAUCAGGAGGAACACCGGUGGCGAAGGCGGGUCUCUGGGCCGAUACUGACGCUGAGGAGCGAAAGCGUGGGGAGCGAACAGG
This 253-nucleotide ribosomal RNA is filed under the name uncultured bacterium. RNAcentral's name for it is "partial 16S ribosomal RNA". It matches the Rfam family "Bacterial small subunit ribosomal RNA", at positions 524 to 776 of the family's 1533-position model. The record is from RNAcentral.